RNAcentral lists this ribosomal RNA (427 nucleotides) under uncultured bacterium. RNAcentral's name for it is "partial 16S ribosomal RNA". It matches the Rfam family "Bacterial small subunit ribosomal RNA", at positions 354 to 796 of the family's 1533-position model. The record is from RNAcentral.
GUGGGGAAUAUUGGGCAAUGGGGGAAACCCUGACCCAGCGACGCCGCGUGAGGGAAGAAGGCCUUAGGGUCGUAAACCUCUGUUGUGUGGGAAGAAGAGCGUGACGGUACCACACGAGGAAGUCCCGGCUAACUACGUGCCAGCAGCCGCGGUAAUACGUAGGGGACGAGCGUUGUCCGGAUUUACUGGGCGUAAAGGGCGCGUAGGCGGUCAUUUAAGUCAGCUGUGAAAUGGUUUGGCUUAACCGGAUCAUGCGGUUGAAACUGGAUGACUGGAGUGCUGGAGAGGCAAGUGGAAUUCCCAGUGUAGCGGUGAAAUGCGUAGAUAUUGGGAAGAACACCGGUGGCGAAGGCGACUUGCUGGCCAGUAACUGACGCUGAGGCGCGAAAGCCAGGGGAGCAAACGGGAUUAGAAACCCUGGUAGUCC